This 819-nucleotide ribosomal RNA is filed under the name Candida albicans. Its description in RNAcentral is "LSU rRNA". It matches the Rfam family "Eukaryotic large subunit ribosomal RNA", at positions 82 to 919 of the family's 3401-position model. Lineage: Eukaryota; Fungi; Ascomycota; Pichiomycetes; Serinales; Debaryomycetaceae. The record is from RNAcentral.
AGUAGCGGCGAGUGAAGCGGCAAAAGCUCAAAUUUGAAAUCUGGCGUCUUUGGCGUCCGAGUUGUAAUUUGAAGAAGGUAUCUUUGGGCCCGGCUCUUGUCUAUGUUCCUUGGAACAGGACGUCACAGAGGGUGAGAAUCCCGUGCGAUGAGAUGACCCGGGUCUGUGUAAAGUUCCUUCGACGAGUCGAGUUGUUUGGGAAUGCAGCUCUAAGUGGGUGGUAAAUUCCAUCUAAAGCUAAAUAUUGGCGAGAGACCGAUAGCGAACAAGUACAGUGAUGGAAAGAUGAAAAGAACUUUGAAAAGAGAGUGAAAAAGUACGUGAAAUUGUUGAAAGGGAAGGGCUUGAGAUCAGACUUGGUAUUUUGCAUGUUGCUCUCUCGGGGGCGGCCGCUGCGGUUUACCGGGCCAGCAUCGGUUUGGAGCGGCAGGAUAAUGGCGGAGGAAUGUGGCACGGCUUCUGCUGUGUGUUAUAGCCUCUGACGAUACUGCCAGCCUAGACCGAGGACUGCGGUUUUUACCUAGGAUGUUGGCAUAAUGAUCUUAAGUCGCCCGUCUUGAAACACGGACCAAGGAGUCUAACGUCUAUGCGAGUGUUUGGGUGUAAAACCCGUACGCGUAAUGAAAGUGAACGAAGGUGGGGGCCCAUUAGGGUGCACCAUCGACCGAUCCUGAUGUGUUCGGAUGGAUUUGAGUAAGAGCAUAGCUGUUGGGACCCGAAAGAUGGUGAACUAUGCCUGAAUAGGGUGAAGCCAGAGGAAACUCUGGUGGAGGCUCGUAGCGGUUCUGACGUGCAAAUCGAUCGUCGAAUUUGGGUAUA